This is a long non-coding RNA of Chinchilla lanigera (long-tailed chinchilla), 760 nucleotides long. RefSeq lists it as uncharacterized. The record is from RefSeq and is a predicted model, not a curated record. The transcript is spliced from 4 exons. NCBI's taxonomy places the organism in Eukaryota, Metazoa, Chordata, Mammalia, Rodentia, Chinchillidae.
UGGAAUUACAGGCAUGCGCCACCACACAUGGCUGGUGUCACAUGUUUUGGGGCCUGGUUUGGAAGCACAAAACAGGGAAGAAGUGACAGGGGGAGCACAGACAUCCCCGUGAUGGAACCUUAUGAAAGUGUUAACUCACCAGAAAACCACCUCUGGGCCAUAUCCUGUUGUCAUAAAAUCACUGAAGGCAUGGGACUAUCAGCGAAAGCAUCCGACUCAUCUCAGCAAAGCUCUGUGGAACCUGAAGAGACAGCACAGGUCUGCCUGAAUCCUCCUGAGUUUCAAGUGCACUCAGUGAAUGACCCCCCUCUUGCAGGCUAGCCCAGGACACAGAUAGCUCUCUUGACCUAAGACAGACCAGGAUGGAGACCCCCAGCAGUGGAGUCCAGGACAGAGUUUACAGAAGCAUGGAUCGGGACAUGAACCCCAGUUUUGCCCCUUCUGAACAGUGUAUCCUUGAGCAAGUGGCUCUGCCUCUGGGUUUUAGUCUCCACAUAUUUAAGAUGGGUGGCUUGGAUUGUUCUGCAAAAUCAGUGGUGUAGACUGCGAAGCCUUCAGCACACUGUCAGCUUGGGAUAACAGUACAUGAAAUGAAGGUGGGGCUCCUUGGGGAUGGACAGCGAGGGCGGGGGUGAAAGGAAGCCCCAGGCUGGGGGAGAGAUGGCAGCUCUCCUGAGGCGCCACUGAGGCUGCCAGUGUGGGAGUGGAAGGAGUAUUAGAACCAUCAGGUAUUUAUAGGCCUCCCUCUAGGCUUGCCAGG